Molecule: non-coding RNA, 2092 nt
Organism: Equus caballus (horse)
Lineage: Eukaryota; Metazoa; Chordata; Mammalia; Perissodactyla; Equidae
Source: RefSeq, a predicted model, not a curated record
AUCAGUGCCGUGUCCACGCCCAGGAUCUGAACUGGUGAAACCCUGGGCCUCCGACGCAAAGUGCACGAACUUAACCACUCGGUCACUCAGCCGGCCCCUCACUUUCCUGAUGGUGUGUUUUGAGAAGCCUGAGCUUAAAUCUGUAAGACUCCGCUGGAGAAGAUGUUGUCAAGAUCACCAAAAAUCUCCAUAUUGCUGAAUCAAAUGAAUUUUUCUUCGUUUUCCCUUGCUUGACCUAUUAUCAGCAUUCAGCACAGGUAAGGACUCUCUCCUUUUUGAUUCAGUUUUUGCUCUGGGCUUCAGAAACAUCACACUGUCCUGAUUUUCUUUCUAAAUCACUGAACUCUCCUCAACCUUUACAGCUGUCUCUCUGGCCUCUGCCUGAAAUCUGAAAGUUGGAGUAUUGCAGGGCUGGUUUUCAAUUUUCUCUCCUUAAUUCUCUUCCGGUCCUGUGGCUUUAAGUGUUGCUAUGUACUGAUGUCUCCCAGGUAUACAACUGACCUGAGCUUCAACCUCAUGUAUCCAGUUGCAUAACUGACGUUUCCAGUUGAACUCCAAAUAGGUAUUGCAAACCAAAUGUACACAAAAAGAACUCUUGAUUUCUGUCCUAAAUAUGACCCUCUCCCAGUCUAAGCAAAUACCUCCAUCACACACCCAGUUGCCUAACCCUCAAAUUAGGAUCCCAGUCAUUCUAGACUCUUCUCUUUCCCUCAUCCUCUGCAUCUAACCCAUCAGCAAGUUUGUAUCCAAACAUAUCUUGAAUCCAUCUCUUUACUUGCUCUCCACUGCCAUCAUCCCAGUCUAAACUAACAUCCUCUCUUGCCUUGACUACUGCGGUCGUCUACUAAUGGGUCCCUCUCCUUCUUGCCUUGCCAUAAUUCACUCUCCAUUAAGCCACCAGAGUAACCAGAGAGCUAGGACAGAACCUGUGCUGCCUCUGCUUAAAAUCUUCCAAACGUUUCUUGUUGCUCUUAGAAUAAAAUCCAAACUCCUCACCAUGGCCCUACUAAGGGCUACGUGGGCUACAAGGCCCUACUAAGCUGACUCCCGCCUGCUCCUGAGUCUCUGGUCACUGCUCUCCUGCAGUUGGCCCUCCUUUAGCUUCCUCAAAUUCGCUCAGCUCUCCCACACGCCAGGGCUUCUGCGUGUGCUAUUCCUGAUAUUCAGCUCAUUGCAUGGUUUCUACCUCCUCGUCGUUCUUCUGUCAGCUCAAAGGUCCUCAGAGGGGCCCUCCCUGACCCUCAAACGUCUGGAAUUACUUUGUUUACUUAUUGGUUUACAUAUUGAUUCCUGACUAGAGUUAAGUUCUUUGAGGCCCCGGGCCUUGGCUGUCUUGUUUAGCAUUACACCCCCAGUACCUGAAACAGUGCUUGGCACGCAGUGGGUGUUCAAUAAAUACUUACCGAACGGAUAAAGCUCCUCCCAGAGGGAGUGUGUGGCGUGAAAAGGAGAGAGGACAGAUGACAGAGGCUUAUGGAGCAUCUUACUUUUUUUUCAACCACUAUGCAAAAAAGGGCAGGCAAAUGAAUCUGUACAGAAAGGAGCAAAGAAAAAUGAAAACUACUGAUGUGUGUGUGUGUGAGUGUUCAUGAUAUUUCCUUCCUCCUAUUACAGUUGUUAUGCUAUUUGCAUAAUAAAUUCAAAUUAGCAGAGAAAAUUAACUUCUUCGAGUUCAUAUAUUCUAAUAAUGAAAUGGGCUGUGGUCAGCUUAUGAACAUAGUUUACAUUUAUGAUUUUGGAAGAAAAAAUGAAACCCAUAGGAAAGUGUUCAUCUGGGUAUCCUUUUUUACCUUGUCUGACAAUGCAAUUUAUGCCCCCAAUGCUGACGUUACACAUUUGCUUUAAAAUCUUAAGUAAUACUUUAUUGCUAAGAAUGUAGUUCUUUAAUUCAUAUUUUUCACAUCUAAUGUAUUUUGAAGAAGGAGAGGUUUGAACAAUGCUCAAUAUUAUUUCUCUCUCAGCUUUACUUAUUGUCUUAGCAGUAUUUUAGUUGGGUGUAUAUCUGAAAAUCUGCUAUUGCUAAUACAACAUUCUGUUUAACAAAUAGAAUAUGCUGGAAUGUUCAGCAAAUGACAAUAAAUAUGUAUUUGUA